This 68-nucleotide transfer RNA is filed under the name Symphurus plagiusa (blackcheek tonguefish). Its description in RNAcentral is "tRNA-Gly". It matches the Rfam family "tRNA". Rfam says of the family: Transfer RNA (tRNA) molecules are approximately 80 nucleotides in length. The record is from RNAcentral. RNAcentral also lists the same sequence under 1 other name. Lineage: Eukaryota; Metazoa; Chordata; Actinopteri; Pleuronectiformes; Cynoglossidae.
GUUUUUCUAGUAUAUAAGUACAGGUGACUUCCAAUCAUCCAGUCCCGGUUCAAUCCCGGGGAAAAAUA